UAAUAAAAGGUAAGCUACGAAGAGCGAAUGGUGGAUGCCUUGACUGGUAAAGGCGAUGAAGGACGUACUAGACUGCGAUAAGCUACGGGGAGCUGUCAAGAAGCUUUGAUCCGUAGAUUUCCGAAUGGGGCAACCCAAUGUAUAGAGAUAUACAUUACCUAUAGUAGGAGCGAACGAGGGGAAUUGAAACAUCUUAGUACCCUCAGGAAAAGAAAUCAAUAGAGAUUGCGUCAGUAGCGGCGAGCGAAAGCGCAAGAGGGCAAACCCAGUGCUUGCACUGGGGGUUGUAGGACUGCAAUGUGCAAGAGCUGAGUUUAGCAGAACAUUCUGGAAAGUAUAGCCAUAGAGGGUGAUAGUCCCGUAUGCGAAAAACAAAGCUUAGCUAGCAGUAUCCUGAGUAGGGCGGGACACGAGGAAUCCUGUCUGAAUCCGGGUCGACCACGAUCCAACCCUAAAUACUAAUACCAGAUCGAUAGUGCACAAGUACCGUGAGGGAAAGGUGAAAAGAACUGAGGUGAUCAGAGUGAAAUAGAACCUGAAACCAUUUGCUUACAAUCAUUCAGAGCACUAUGUAGCAAUACAGUGUGAUGGACUGCCUUUUGCAUAAUGAGCCUGCGAGUUGUGGUGUCUGGCAAGGUUAAGCAAACGCGAAGCCGUAGCGAAAGCGAGUCUGAAUAGGGCGCUUAGUCAGAUGCUGCAGACCCGAAACGAAGUGAUCUAUCCAUGAGCAAGUUGAAGCUAGUGUAAGAACUAGUGGAGGACUGAACCCGCUAGCGUUGAAAAGCUAUGGGAUGACUUGUGGAUAGGGGUGAAAGGCCAAUCAAACUUCGUGAUAGCUGGUUCUCUCCGAAAUAUAUUUAGGUAUAGCGUUGUGUCGUAAUAUAAGGGGGUAGAGCACUGAAUGGGCUAGGGCAUACACCAAUGUACCAAACCCUAUCAAACUCCGAAUACCUUAUAUGUAAUCACAGCAGUCAGGCGGCGAGUGAUAAAAUCCGUCGUCAAGAGGGAAACAACCCAGACUACCAGCUAAGGUCCCUAAAUCUUACUUAAGUGGAAAACGAUGUGAAGUUACUUAAACAACCAGGAGGUUGGCUUAGAAGCAGCCAUCCUUUAAAGAAAGCGUAAUAGCUCACUGGUCUAGUGAUUUUGCGCGGAAAAUAUAACGGGGCUAAAGUAAGUACCGAAGCUGUAGACUUGCACACAACUUAGAUUAUUUAAGUUUAGAAUAUGAGAAACUAAGUUAACUAAGUUAUAUGUUUAGUUAUAUUUUUACUGAUUUUUAUAGAGUAAAGAUAAAAACAAAAACUUCGUAAAAAUAAUAAAAUAUAGUAAAAAACAAUAAAAAUAUUCUUAGAUUAAAAGUUAAGUCAUUUAAGUUGUGUGCAAGUGGUAGGAGAGCGUUCUAUUUGCGUCGAAGGUAUACCGGUAAGGAGUGCUGGAGCGAAUAGAAGUGAGCAUGCAGGCAUGAGUAGCGAUAAUUAAUGUGAGAAUCAUUAACGCCGUAAACCCAAGGUUUCCUACGCGAUGCUCGUCAUCGUAGGGUUAGUCGGGUCCUAAGUCGAGUCCGAAAGGGGUAGACGAUGGCAAAUUGGUUAAUAUUCCAAUACCAACAUUAGUGUGCGAUGGAAGGACGCUUAGGGCUAAGGGGGCUAGCGGAUGGAAGUGCUAGUCUAAGGUCGUAGGAGCUUAUACAGGAAAAUCCGUAUAAGAACACUCCGAGAACUGAAAGGCUUUUUGAAGUCUUCGGAUGGAUAGAAGAACCCCUGAUGCCGUCGAGCCAAGAAAAGUUUCUAAGUUUAGCUAAUGUUGCCCGUACCGUAAACCGACACAGGUGGGUGGGAUGAGUAUUCUAAGGCGCGUGGAAGAACUCUCUUUAAGGAACUCUGCAAAAUAGCACCGUAUCUUCGGUAUAAGGUG
This 1917-nucleotide ribosomal RNA is filed under the name Campylobacter jejuni. RNAcentral's name for it is "partial 23S ribosomal RNA". It matches the Rfam family "Bacterial large subunit ribosomal RNA", at positions 1 to 1748 of the family's 2925-position model. The record is from RNAcentral. Lineage: Bacteria; Pseudomonadati; Campylobacterota; Epsilonproteobacteria; Campylobacterales; Campylobacteraceae.